UCUGCAACCCGACUCCGUGAAGCUGGAUUCGCUAGUAAUCGCGCAUCAGCCAUGGCGCGGUGAAUACGUUCCCGGGCCUUGUACACACCGCCCGUCACACCAUGGGAGUUGGGAAUGCCCGAAGUCAGUGACCCAACCGCAAGGAGGGAGCCGCCGAAGGCAGGCUUGAUAACUGGGGUGAAGUCGUAACAAGGUAGC
This 198-nucleotide ribosomal RNA is filed under the name uncultured bacterium. RNAcentral's name for it is "partial 16S ribosomal RNA". It matches the Rfam family "Bacterial small subunit ribosomal RNA", at positions 1304 to 1500 of the family's 1533-position model. The record is from RNAcentral.